Molecule: ribosomal RNA, 336 nt
Filed under: Triticum aestivum (bread wheat)
Lineage: Eukaryota; Viridiplantae; Streptophyta; Magnoliopsida; Poales; Poaceae
Description: partial small subunit ribosomal RNA
Source: RNAcentral
AUGGAGCCAACACAAAAAGGCACAAAAUACACACGAGAAAGGCAAAAAUAUGCAAAUAUGCAUCGAAAACAAAAGAAAGCUAGAAUAGAGCAAAUUAGAUCUAACAGUGAAUUGAGGCGCAACGGACUAAGCAGAAGAUUCAAUUCGAUGGAGAAUCCUGCAUAUGUGAUAUGUCGCAGCAGAACUGGAACAAAUAGACAAAACAAAAAACCCUAUAGUUUUUGGCAAUUAACCUGCAAUACUACUUUAAGUGACAUGAAGAAAAUGUUUCAAUUUUUACACAAAGCCCCCUGCAGUUUCAAAAAUCAACCCACAGUCCAUAUCAUAUGUUUUUAA